AUUGAACGCUGGCGGCAGGCCUAACACAUGCAAGUCGAACGGUAGCACAGAGAGCUUGCUCUCGGGUGACGAGUGGCGGACGGGUGAGUAAUGUCUGGGAAACUGCCCGAUGGAGGAGGAUAACUACUGGAAACGGUAGCUAAUACCGCAUAACGUCGCAAGACCAAAGUGGGGGACCCUCGGGCCUUACACCAACGGCUGCGCACAGAUGGGAUUAGCUAGUAGGUGGGGUAAUGGCUCACCUAGGCGACGAUCCCUAGCUGGUCUGAGAGGAUGACCAGCCACACUGGAACUGAGACACGGUCCAGACUCCUACGGGAGGCAGCAGUGGGGAAUAUUGCACAAUGGGCGCAAGCCUGAUGCAGCCAUGCCGCGUGUAUGAAGAAGGCCUUCGGGUUGUAAAGUACUUUCAGCGGGGAGGAAGGCGGUGAAGUUAAUAGCUUCACCGAUUGACGUUACCCGCAGAAGAAGCACCGGCUAACUCCGUGCCAGCCGCCGCGGUAA
RNAcentral lists this ribosomal RNA (504 nucleotides) under uncultured bacterium. Its description in RNAcentral is "partial 16S ribosomal RNA". It matches the Rfam family "Bacterial small subunit ribosomal RNA", at positions 29 to 523 of the family's 1533-position model. The record is from RNAcentral.